UAGAGGAAGUAAAAGUCGUAACAAGGUUUCCGUAGGUGAACCUGCGGAAGGAUCAUUAUCGUAUAACGGAGGCACCCAGGGCUGUCGCUGACCUUUUACAAGGUUGUGCACGCCCAAAAGUGCUCUCUCACAUCCAUUUCACCCCAUUGUGAAUCACCGCGUGGGACCUCCUAUCAGAGGUCUUGCGUUCUUUUAUAACACACACCAUUUUAAUGCAUGUAUAGAAUGACCUUUGCGAUUAUACGCAAUUAAUAUAACUUUCAACAACGGAUCUCUUGGCUCUCGCAUCGAUGAAGAACGCAGCGAAAUGCGAUACGUAAUGUGAAUUGCAGAAUUCAGUGAAUCAUCGAAUCUUUGAACGCACCUUGCGCCCCUUGGUAUUCCGAGGGGCACACCCGUUUGAGUGUCGUGAACAACCUCAACCUUUCUGGUUUCUUGACCAGAAAGGCUUGGACUUUGGAGGUUUUAAUUGCUGGCUUUCAUUCAAGUCAGCUCCUCCUAAAUGAAUUAGUGGGAUUUGCUUUGCUGAUCCUUGACGUGAUAAGUAUGUUUCUACGUCUUGGGUUUUGCAACGUCACCUGCUUCAAACCGUCUUUAAAUCAAAGACAACGUUCAAGUCACCUCGCGAGUCGUGGCUUGACAUCACUGACCUUGACCUCAAAUCGGGUGAGACUACCCGCUGAACUUAAGCAUAUCAAUAAGCGGAG
Molecule: ribosomal RNA, 707 nt
Filed under: Russula sp.
Lineage: Eukaryota; Fungi; Basidiomycota; Agaricomycetes; Russulales; Russulaceae
Description: eukaryotic LSU rRNA
Rfam family: 5.8S ribosomal RNA (bases 256-409)
Source: RNAcentral